Molecule: RNase MRP RNA, 224 nt
Filed under: Lotharella globosa
Lineage: Eukaryota; Cercozoa; Chlorarachniophyceae
Description: partial RNase MRP
Rfam family: RNase MRP
About the family: RNase MRP is an enzymatically active ribonucleoprotein with two distinct roles in eukaryotes. In mitochondria it plays a direct role in the initiation of mitochondrial DNA replication.
Source: RNAcentral
CCGAUGCUUACGUAAUACCAGGACUUGCAACGCAGUGAAAACUGUGGGGAAAAUCCCCGAACGAUCGGAGGAGAGCUCCACCCUUCAUUGGGAAGCUCCCUGUCAUCGUCUGCUUGACAAAGACGGUUCGCCGGAGUCAGGACUGUGACAGGCAGCGUUCGUUCUAGCACAGUCAUGCAAGUGAUGGUCGGUAACGGCCGUUAACUCAACGGGGUUUACUCUCC